CUCUGUCACUCCUACGGGAGGCAGCAGUGGGGAAUAUUGCACAAUGGGCGCAAGCCUGAUGCAGCCAUGCCGCGUGUAUGAAGAAGGCCUUCGGGUUGUAAAGUACUUUCAGCAGUGAGGAAGGUUCAUGCGUUAAUAGCGUAUGGAUUUGACGUUAGCUGCAGAAGAAGCACCGGCUAACUCCGUGCCAGCAGCCGCGGUAAUACGGAGGGUGCGAGCGUUAAUCGGAAUUACUGGGCGUAAAGCGCAUGCAGGUGGUUUGUUAAGUCAGAUGUGAAAGCCCGGGGCUCAACCUCGGAAUUGCAUUUGAAACUGGCAGACUAGAGUACUGUAGAGGGGGUAGAAUUUCAGGUGUAGCGGUGAAAAUGCGUAGAGAUCUGAAGGAAUACCGGUGGCGAAGGCGGCCCCCUGGACAGAUACUGACACUCAGAUGCGAAAGCGUGGGGAGCAAACAGGAUUAGAUACCCUGGUAG
This 473-nucleotide ribosomal RNA is filed under the name uncultured bacterium. Its description in RNAcentral is "bacterial SSU rRNA". It matches the Rfam family "Bacterial small subunit ribosomal RNA", at positions 328 to 793 of the family's 1533-position model. The record is from RNAcentral.